CCAUCCCAGUUCGGAUUGCAGGCUGCAACCCGCCUGUAUGAAGUUGGAAUCGCUAGUAAUCGCGGAUCAGCAUGCCGCGGUGAAUACGUUCCCGGGCCUUGUACACACCGCCCGUCACACCAUGGGAGCCGGUAAUACCCGAAGUCAGUAGUCUAACCGCAAGGGGGACGCUGCCGAAGGUAGGAUUGGCGACUGGGGUGAAGUCGUAACAAGGUACC
This 218-nucleotide ribosomal RNA is filed under the name uncultured bacterium. Its description in RNAcentral is "partial 16S ribosomal RNA". It matches the Rfam family "Bacterial small subunit ribosomal RNA", at positions 1283 to 1500 of the family's 1533-position model. The record is from RNAcentral.